UACGUAGGGUCCGAGCGUUGUCCGGAAUUAUUGGGCGUAAAGAGCUCGUAGGCGGUUUGUCGCGUCUGCUGUGAAAUCCCGAGGCUCAACCUCGGGCCUGCAGUGGGUACGGGCAGACUUGAGUGGUGUAGGGGAGACUGGAAUUCCUGGUGUAGCGGUGGAAUGCGCAGAUAUCAGGAGGAACACCGAUGGCGAAGGCAGGUCUCUGGGCACUUACUGACGCUGAGGAGCGAGAGCGUGGGGAGCGAACAGG
This 253-nucleotide ribosomal RNA is filed under the name uncultured bacterium. RNAcentral describes it as "partial 16S ribosomal RNA". It matches the Rfam family "Bacterial small subunit ribosomal RNA", at positions 524 to 776 of the family's 1533-position model. The record is from RNAcentral.